RNAcentral lists this ribosomal RNA (584 nucleotides) under uncultured bacterium. Its description in RNAcentral is "partial 16S ribosomal RNA". It matches the Rfam family "Bacterial small subunit ribosomal RNA", at positions 355 to 935 of the family's 1533-position model. The record is from RNAcentral.
UGGGGAAUUUUGGACAAUGGGCGCAAGCCUGAUCCAGCCAUGCCGCGUGCGGGAAGAAGGCCUUCGGGUUGUAAACCGCUUUUGUCAGGGAAGAAAUCUUCUGAGUUAAUACCUCGGGAGGAUGACGGUACCUGAAGAAUAAGCACCGGCUAACUACGUGCCAGCAGCCGCGGUAAUACGUAGGGUGCAAGCGUUAAUCGGAAUUACUGGGCGUAAAGCGUGCGCAGGCGGUUUUGUAAGACAGAGGUGAAAUCCCCGGGCUCAACCUGGGAACUGCCUUUGUGACUGCAAGGCUUGAGUGCGGCAGAGGGGGGAUGGAAUUCCGCGUGUAGCAGUGAAAUGCGUAGAUAUGCGGAGGAACACCGAUGGCGAAGGCAAUCCCCUGGGCCUGCACUGACGCUCAUGCACGAAAGCGUGGGGAGCAAAACAGGAUUAGAUACCCUGGUAGUCCACGCCCUAAACGAUGUCAACUGGUUGUUGGGAAGGUUCCUUCUCAGUAACGUAGCUAACGCGUGAAGUUGACCGCCUGGGGAGUACGGCCGCAAGGUUGAAACUCAAAUGAAUUGACGGGGUCAUAGCUGUUU